AGAACGAACGCUGGCGGCAGGCUUAACACAUGCAAGUCGAACGCUCGUAGCAAUACGGGAGUGGCAGACGGGUGAGUAAUGCGUGGGAACAUACCCUCCGGUUCGGAAUAGCUCAGGGAAACUUGGAUUAAUACCGGAUACGGCCGAGAGGCGAAAGAUUUAUCGCCGGAGGAUUGGCCCGCGUUCGAUUAGCUAGUUGGUGAGGUAACGGCUCACCAAGGCGAUGAUCGAUAGCUGGUCUGAGAGGAUGAUCAGCCACAUUGGGACUGAGACACGGCCCAAACUCCUACGGGAGGCAGCAGUGGGGAAUAUUGGACAAUGGGCGCAAGCCUGAUCCAGCCAUGCCGCGUGAGUGAUGAAGGCCUUCGGGUUGUAAAGCUCUUUCGCUCGGGACGAUAAUGACGGUACCGAGAUAAGAGCCCGGCUAACUUCGUGCCAGCAGCCGC
This 446-nucleotide ribosomal RNA is filed under the name uncultured bacterium. RNAcentral's name for it is "SSU rRNA". It matches the Rfam family "Bacterial small subunit ribosomal RNA", at positions 26 to 518 of the family's 1533-position model. The record is from RNAcentral.